CGUCAGGAUGAACGCUAGCUACAGGCGUUAACACAUGCAAGUCAGGGGCAGCAUGAGAUUAGCUUGCUAAUCUUGAUGGCGACCGGCGCACGGGUGAGUAACGCGUAUCCAACCUUCCCCCUACUCAGGCAUAGCCCGGUGAAAACCGGAUUAACUCCUGAUAGUUUCACUAGAUGGCAUCGUGACGGUGAAUAAAGCUCAGCGGUAAGGGAUGGGGAUGCGUCUGAUUAGCUUGUUGGCGGGGUAACGGCCCACCAAGGCGACGAUCAGUAGGGGUUCUGAGAGGAAGGUCCCCCACAUUGGAACUGAGACACGGUCCAAACUCCUACGGGAGGCAGCAGUGAGGAAUAUUGGUCAAUGGGCGCGAGCCUGAACCAGCCAAGUAGCGUGCAAGGACGACGGCCCUAUGGGUUGUAAACUGCUUUUGUAUGGGAAUAAAGUCAGGGACGUGUCCCUGUUUGCAUGUACCAUAAGAAUAAGGACCGGCUAAUUCCGUGCCAGCAGCAGC
Molecule: ribosomal RNA, 508 nt
Filed under: uncultured bacterium
Lineage: Bacteria
Description: bacterial SSU rRNA
Rfam family: Bacterial small subunit ribosomal RNA
Source: RNAcentral